AACGAACGCUGGCGGCAUGCCUAACACAUGCAAGUCGAACGAGACCUUCGGGUCUAGUGGCGCACGGGUGCGUAACACGUGGGAAUCUGCCCUUGGGUUCGGAAUAACAGUUGGAAACGACUGCUAAUACCGGAUGAUGACGUAAGUCCAAAGAUUUAUCGCCCAAGGAUGAGCCCGCGUCGGAUUAGCUAGUUGGUGGGUAA
RNAcentral lists this ribosomal RNA (203 nucleotides) under uncultured bacterium. RNAcentral's name for it is "partial 16S ribosomal RNA". It matches the Rfam family "Bacterial small subunit ribosomal RNA", at positions 29 to 259 of the family's 1533-position model. The record is from RNAcentral.